CCUACGGGGGGCACCAGCGGGGAAUAUUGCACAAUGGGCGCAAGCCUGAUGCAGCCAUGCCGCGUGUGUGAAGAAGGCCUUCGGGUUGUAAAGCACUUUCAGCGGGGAGGAAGGCGAUAAGGUUAAUAACCUUGUCGAUCGACGUUACCCGCAGAAGAAGCACCGGCUAACUCCGUGCCAGCAGCCGCGGUAAUACGGAGGGUGCAAGCGUUAAUCGGAAUUACUGGGCGUAAAGCGCACGCAGGCGGUCUGUCAAGUCGGAUGUGAAAUCCCCGGGCUCAACCGUGGAACUGCAUUCGAAACUGGCAGGCUAGAGUCUUGUAGAGGGGGGUAGAAUUCCAGGUGUAGCGGUGAAAUGCGUAGAGAUCUGGAGGAAUACCGGUGGCGAAGGCGGCCCCCUGGACAAAGACUGACGCUCAGGUGCGAAAGCGUGGGGAGCAAACAGGAUUAUAUACCCUGGUAGUC
RNAcentral lists this ribosomal RNA (465 nucleotides) under uncultured bacterium. RNAcentral describes it as "bacterial SSU rRNA". It matches the Rfam family "Bacterial small subunit ribosomal RNA", at positions 338 to 795 of the family's 1533-position model. The record is from RNAcentral.